This 498-nucleotide ribosomal RNA is filed under the name uncultured bacterium. Its description in RNAcentral is "bacterial SSU rRNA". It matches the Rfam family "Bacterial small subunit ribosomal RNA", at positions 28 to 507 of the family's 1533-position model. The record is from RNAcentral.
GGCUAACGCUGGCGGCGUGUCUUAGCCAUGCAAGUCGAGCGGACUUAUGGGGUAACUUAUAAGUCAGCGGCGGACGGCGGAGUAACACGUAGCUAACCUACCCUCUGGACGGGGAUAACCUACCGAAAGGUGGGCUAAUACCCGAUGUAGUCAUCCUGUAUAGGGGUGAUGAAAGGUGGGCUUCUGUUUACAAGCUCAUGCUGGAGGAGGGGGCUGCGGCCUAUCAGGUAGUUGGUAGGGUAAUAGCCUACCAAGCCGAUGACGGGUAGCCGGCCUGAGAGGGUGACCGGCCCGAGGGGCACUGAGAUACGGGUCCCACUCCUACGGGAGGCAGCAGGCUAGAAAUUUGGGCAAUGGGGGAAACCCUGACCCAGUGACGCCGCGUGCAGGAAGGAGCCCUUCGGGGUGUAAACUGCUGUCGUGUAGGGAGAAGGGUACUAAGGUGAACAAUCUUAGUACUUGACGGUACUACAGGAGGAAGCCCAGGCUAACCUCGUG